This 219-nucleotide long non-coding RNA is filed under the name Lathyrus oleraceus (garden pea). RNAcentral describes it as "Pisum sativum (pea) long non-coding RNA (PSAT_LNC020312)". Lineage: Eukaryota; Viridiplantae; Streptophyta; Magnoliopsida; Fabales; Fabaceae. The record is from RNAcentral.
UAACAUCUUACUGCAGUUAUACUUUGAUGGAUAUUGACUUCUGUCUGGACCGCGGCCUCAUGAGGAGAUCUUCUUUCCACCCAGAUCAAUACAGGCUCUUGAUCGAGGGUGAGACUAUCCACUACUUUACUUUACCAGACCUCAUGUAACUUGUGUUUAUAAUCAGACCAACUGGGCCUAUUCCAUAGAAAGCUAAGGCGAGACAGUAGAUGAGCAAAG